GAGACAAGGUUUCACUUCUUAGAUUUAGGUUAGGUCAAGAGAGAUGAAUGAGAAUCGUGGGCUGAAUCCCGUAAAUAAACUUGAAGAAUGAAUAUGAUUUUAUUGAUGAGUUGAAAGAUGAUGAAUACAAAGGAAUGUAUCUUGAGAUGAUUACUAAAGAAUACGUAAUGCUUUUAAUCUAGUACAAAAGUUGAUAUAUGGAAAAGAGAUGGCUUGUCUUUUAUCUUCUCCGUCUUUAUAUAGUCUAGGUUUCGUUGGCAACCCUUCAACUGUUCUCCGAGAUAUUCAGCUUCAAUUACGGAACUCGCUUUAGGCUCCUCUUGACCGAGUCUCUUAAGGUGUUAGCUCACUUUCUGUCGUGACCUCUGCUAUGAUGUCUCCCAGGUCCAGUCGUCAGCUCGGCUUUCAGCUCCCUUUGUUAUGAUGGGCUUAUCGCAACCCACAUGCUAGCUCACGCUUAUCGGUACCUCACCUGAGGGUCAUAUUCGGGUCCAACAGUUGCCCCCAGCUUCCGAAUAAAAUCCUUUGUCUCGGAAGCUAGAAUCUAGCUAUCGAUCUUAUCUUUUCGUUAAGAUAAUGAUUAGUUCUUAUCCUAUUUAGAUUCAGCUUACUCGAUCUAACGGUCUUUAUUACGUUUGGCAGAAUCUACGGUUCAGAUGGAGAGGGUUUGAAAUGACUUUUCCGAAUCUCGAGAGGUGAUGGGAUAUAAAGCGGUGAACAUUAACUGCUAGCCUCCCACUUUCUCCACGCCUCCGUUCGGUUUUCAAGGUAACUUCUCUCCUCUCUCUUUAUUUUACUGCAAUUUUUUUUUAUCUUCCUCGUUACUUUUCUCUGCAAAUUCUCUCCCAAACCUUGCAAUCGAUUUUCUCCUUAACCUUCCCAUACUAUGGAUCAUCCGAAAGAAGGUUCCGGGGAAUCCGGGAUGCCUCCCUCUGCUUCUGGAGCUAAACUACUGAAAGUUAAGCAAGAAGUCGGAGCCAAGAUGAGGAAGGGGAAAAAGACAGCCAGGGAGGCAAUCGCGACCAGAGUUUCUAAACGGAAGAAGAAAGACGAUUCUAGCGGGAGCAGUCCUCACUCGCCUUCGUUGCUGAAAAAUCAAGACGUGGUUAACCUCAUGGUUCAAGCUCUCGGCCAAAAGGACCUUGGCCGUGCCUGUAAUUCCGACGAAACCCCCGAGACCGCUCCGGAGGGUUGGUUCUGUUGCCAUGAGAAGUACAUCUCCAAGUCUCACUUGAGAUUUCCUCUUCCGACCCUACUGCUUGAUCUACUAGAUCAUUAUCAGUUAGCCCUUUCCCAACUCUGUCCCUCGGUUAUCCGGGUGAUAAACGGCUUUAUCACUAGGUCCAAAGAGGAGGGGGUUAGCGUCGGUCUUACCGAACUUAUGAGCCUCUUUUCCCUGAAGGAAAGCGCCUCUAAGGAGGGUGGUACCGGGACCUACUACCUCCCUAGUCGUCCCAAUCAUGUUAUCUUCAGAUUCUCUAGUAGUGAUGAUGACUGGAGGAAGAAGUAUUUUCACGUUAAAGUUGAUCCUUCGACGGUUCCUGUGGGUCGGAACCUUAGGGUCACUUGGACUAAUCCAUCUGGUUAGGAAUUCUAGGGAUAUGCUUUUUCCGUUUUAUUCAUUUAUGGCCGAGUAACCUUUUUGCUCUGAUUUACUUGCAGAAAUCGAAGAUCCUCCGAAGCUCUCUACCAAGCUCACCAGAGCUCUAUACCGCAAGUUGCAGCAGAGUCCCUGUACCUGGGUAGCCUACACCACUUCUCGAAUAAGUGCAGCCAGAUUCCCAGAUACCUACAACGCCUCUUUCCAAGAUCCCAUUCCUGCUGAGAACCUUGAGAGUAAGUUCUUGUUCGAACCUUUUUAAUGAUUUUAUCGCUUUGAAGUUUUUAAACUUAAGGAUUUCCAUUGUUCCAGUUUUGGCAGGCGAUUCAGUUGUAUCGAUCUCAACUGGUGCUAGUGCUUCGGGAACUGAAAAGUCUCAGCCAGGUGACAUGACUCUGCGACCAUCAUUCCGUUCUAGGGGUAACCCCUCUAAAGCUGCCAGUGCUUCUCGUGGAAGCGACAGGAACCAAGGAGGAUCGUUCCUUAUCUCAAUGAAGGAAGUUUUGGACGACGGAGGAUCCAAACCUGUUGUCGAGACUACUCCAACUGAGGUUGUAGCUCAGGAUGCUGCUCCUCUCCCUGAGGUCCAGGUGCCGGAGGCUGACUACCAGGCUCCGAAGGGUACCUCUGAGGUCGAGCCGUCGAGACACAAGAGGCCCAGGACCGAUCAGGGCGGAGCUCCCACCCGUUCUUCUUCCUCGUCCUCUAGAGGAGGGACUGUUGGGUGGAGCUUUACCCAUUCGAAGCCUGGGUCGAUCCUGGACGACUCUUGGGGCCUAGCUGCGAUAAUGAGGCACCUGAAGAGCGUGGGAUGUCCCCUUCCAGCGCUCAAGGACCUGACUAACCGAGAUGAGUAUCUCGAUAUUGCUCACUGUAUGGGUCAGUUGGCUGGGGCUGUUAACAGGGCCCAGCUCAGGUUUGAGAAUGCUCUGUAUGCUGCCCCCAAUGCUGGUGAACUUGCUGAGGUUACCGAGAUGGUUAAGGCAGCCAAAGCCGAUCUUGACCAAGCCCGGGUUUGAAUUUCUGAACUCGAAGCCGAAGUGACGAGGCUAUUAUUUCUGUUUUAAGUUUUUGAACUUAACCUCGUUUCAUUUAAUCAUAGUGAUUGUGAAUCUCAGAUGAGUUGUGUGAUGUCAUCGUUGAGUCGGAUUAGGACCUUUAGUCUUAAUUUAUGAUAAGCAUUUAGCUUAAUGGAUAUUCGGUCGUGAUAACCUUAAAGAGAAGUUCUUGAUUUUAGCUCGGGGACCUGAGUCCGAUUCGAAAGGUUCUGGGACCUGGUUGUUCAGGUUCGUAGGAACCUGGAUUUAGAUUUAUAGGGACCUGAGUUAAUUCGAAGGACUUCGAGGCCUUUGAAGUUUAACGGAUGGAAUUGAGGAAUUUCGGGAUUUUCCUGAUUCUUUAGGAUUUUAAGACCUUUCGA
This is an RNA transcript of Brassica napus (rape), 3020 nucleotides long. RefSeq lists it as uncharacterized. The record is from RefSeq and is a predicted model, not a curated record. NCBI's taxonomy places the organism in Eukaryota, Viridiplantae, Streptophyta, Magnoliopsida, Brassicales, Brassicaceae. The transcript is spliced from 2 exons.